Panicum hallii is the source of this 1106-nucleotide long non-coding RNA. RefSeq lists it as uncharacterized. The transcript is spliced from 5 exons. The record is from RefSeq and is a predicted model, not a curated record. Lineage: Eukaryota; Viridiplantae; Streptophyta; Magnoliopsida; Poales; Poaceae.
UCCCGCGCCGCCGUGGUGGACAAGGGAAAGCGCCACCAUGGUCGACGAGGGCGAGCGCACCGAGGUCAUGGAGGGCGAGCGCCGUUGAGGUCACGGACGAGUCGAGCGCCGGCGUGGUGGUGGAGGCCUCACAAUAAGCACCAUGGCAGGACUGCCGACGCCGUGCUGCUGAUGGGCCACACCUCCGCACACGAGCAGAAGCGGCCCAUGCGUCGGCGAAGGAUACGCCGACGGAGCUGGGUUGGAUGUUUACUAGACUCAUCUGGAUGAGCAUCGCAUGAUGAGAUUUUUGUGACCAUCGGCAAAGAUGAGUGAGCAGCUGGUGGAUCGAGAGGGGCUCGAUGACCGCACCUGCCGUAUCGCCGCCACGCCCCUGCAUCACGAAGGAUCGUCCCCUUCUGCCUCCUACACGUGAAGGGAGCCCCUGAAGAUGACCUCAAUCUCUAUCUAGCUGCGUGCUCCCUGAGCUAAUCAUGAUCAUAAAAUUAAUUGGUGCCGUCCGAGCUGAGAACAAGGAUUGACAGUUCUGUAGUUUUAACCCAAUCCUGGCAGAACUUAUAUGAUAUGCUUGGACAGCGGAGUGUGAUGAUUUUUUUGGUGAGGGAGAGGGCAGGCAGUGCAAGAGGCAAGGAGAGCAAAAGGAACAGUCGAGAAGCUAGGGAGGAUAACGGUGACAGGCACAAAAAGAGCAGCUCUUGAGUUCUCCAAUUUUGUUGAUAUAAUUUUGUAAUCUAAGACUAUGAUAUGUAAAUAAAUUCUGUUAGCUCCGUAUACACAAGUUAUGUCAAAUAAAGUUUUGCUAGGUUUUGUUUUUUUCUGGAUGUUGUGUUGACAUAGAAGGAUUCAAAGGAGAUACAUUUAAAAGAGAAGGACAGGAGCACGGCAAGAUACCAGAUGCAGUGACAUCCAUGUUUCGGCGAGGGAAGGAGCAACUGAUAACUGGGUGACAUCCAUGUUUCGGCAAGGGAAGGAGCAACUGAUAACUAGGUGACAUCCAUGUUUCGGCGAGGGCACGCUCACUAAAUUGUAUAUGAAGAUAACUGGGUGACAUCCAUGUUUUGGCGAGGGAAGGAGCAACUGAUAACAUAAUAUAGCACCUUUCUGCU